This 301-nucleotide ribosomal RNA is filed under the name uncultured bacterium. RNAcentral's name for it is "partial 16S ribosomal RNA". It matches the Rfam family "Bacterial small subunit ribosomal RNA", at positions 509 to 807 of the family's 1533-position model. The record is from RNAcentral.
CAGCCGCCACGGGAAUACGGAGGAUCCGAGCGUUAUCCGGAAUUAUUGGGUUUAAAGGGUGCGUAGGCGGAUAGAUAAGUCAGUGGUGAAAGACGGUGGCUCAACCAUCGCAGUGCCGUUGAUACUGUUUAUCUUGAAUAUGGAUGAGGUAGGCGGAAUGUGGCAAGUGGCGGUGAAAUGCAUAGAUAUGCCACAGAACACCGAUUGCGAAGGCAGCUUACCAAGGCAAAAUUGACGCUGAGGCACGAAAGCGUGGGGAUCGAACAGGAUUAGAUACCCCAGUAGUCCCUGUCUCUUAUAC